UCACCGGCAUCUGCGUUAAAGCUUGGCAGAAAUAAAACCCCGGCACCGGACAUGACGAAGAGG
Molecule: non-coding RNA, 63 nt
Filed under: unclassified sequences
Description: cow-rumen-1 RNA
Rfam family: cow-rumen-1 RNA
About the family: cow rumen metagenome. Environment (Cow rumen (57))
Source: Rfam by way of RNAcentral